AUAGCUGAGUGGUAAAGCGCUUGGCUUCCGAACAGAGGUUCCAGGUUCUAAUCCUGGU
This is a non-coding RNA of Biomphalaria glabrata, 58 nucleotides long. Lineage: Eukaryota; Metazoa; Mollusca; Gastropoda; Planorbidae. The record is from Rfam.